This 634-nucleotide ribosomal RNA is filed under the name uncultured bacterium. Its description in RNAcentral is "bacterial SSU rRNA". The stretch from base 1 to 535 matches the Rfam family "Bacterial small subunit ribosomal RNA", at positions 338 to 873 of the family's 1533-position model. The record is from RNAcentral.
CCUACGGGAGGCAGCAGUAAGGAAUAUUGGUCAAUGGACGGAAGUCUGAACCAGCCAUGCCGCGUGCAGGAAGACGGCCCUACGGGUUGUAAACUGCUUUUGCAGGGGAAUAAACCCCGAUACGUGUAUCGGGCUGAAUGUACUCUGAGAAUAAGGAUCGGCUAACUCCGUGCCAGCAGCCGCGGUAAUACGGAGGAUCCAAGCGUUAUCCGGAUUUAUUGGGUUUAAAGGGUGCGUAGGUGGCCUGUUAAGUCAGGGGUGAAAGACGGUAGCUUAACUAUCGCAGUGCCCUUGAUACUGAUGGGCUUGAAUAAACUAGAGGUAGGCGGAAUGUGACAAGUAGCGGUGAAAUGCAUAGAUAUGUCACAGAACACCAAUUGCGAAGGCAGCUUACUAUGGUUUUAUUGACACUGAGGCACGAAAGCGUGGGGAUCAAACAGGAUUAGAUACCCUGGUAGUCCACGCCCUAAACGAUGAAUACUCGAUGUUGGCGAUAUACGGUCAGCGUCUAGACGAAGACGUUAAGUUAGUUACCGUACCGUGGGAGGUACGGCCGCCGUAAGGGUAGGUAAACGUUAAAGGUUAAAGUUAGUUACGGCGUGAGACGNGCGACGGACGACGACGAGGGAGGAGG